ACAAGGCAUAUUGUGUUUGUGUCUAAUUUUGAGACUUUUUAUAGAGAAUCUGAUUUGGAUACAGUCUGAUUUCAGUUUUGACAUAAUUCUGAUUCAAAAUCUUGACAAAAUAUGUUAGUAAGAACAGAGUCAACAGUGUGGAAUUCAACUUUCUUUCCAGCAUCAUGACACUUCUGAUUCAGUUUCCUUUUCAUAAUACUUACCACAUUUUCUCUGCACCCUGGCACAAUUUUGGACAAAACCUGCUGAUUGGCUGGUGAAAUUGUUGAAUACUUUCCUAUACCUUUCUGACUUUGUUGACUUUGUUUCGAGAGUAGAAUACAAUGUACUGACUUUGGCCUGCAUGAAAAAAGCAUACCUAUCGUUAUGGCGGUAAAGGUUGUUUCAGUACAUGGUGGGUGUUAAUAAUUUACCUCUAAGGCUACAAUGCAAUGGUAGCUUGUGAUCAUGAGGUCAUGAUUAGGUCCCUCUAAGCUUAAAUCUAUGGUGUUGUGUACAAUUCGCUAGUAACAAUUCUGUUUCCACUGCCACUUGAUGCAUCUCCAAGUUUGCUGUCUUUCUCCUGAAGUGCUUGUUGGCCUUGGCCUUGGAGCAUGAUCAAGAACUCCUUGCUGGCAUUGUAACAUCUGUAACAUUGACACCAUAUCUUCAAUUGAGGUGUUCACUAGCACUGGAGACUGACUAGGUUGUAGUGUACCUGGUCUGUCGGUGAUCGUGUUGGAGUUGUGGUGUAAGGCUGAUCUCUUUCACCGCCUUCACCUUCACUGUCCAUGUUGAACUCAUCAACUCAUCAACUGUCUAGGUACAUGCCUGGUUGGUAUUCAAAGUUUGAGUUUAGCAACCGUAGGGGACGUCUUGGAUCAGAACCAUCUUGGAUCAGAACCAGUGUUAGAUCUAGUGGUAGACCUUGGUGUGGUUCGUUUGGUCCUACUGUAGAAGUGCUGUAUACUAUACCAUGAUCUAUGUAUUAUUUAGAACACACCUAGCCAAGAUUAAGUGUUUUAAUCUGGAUGGCCUCGAGGUUAACGUGGUGCUCGAGGCGCAGCCGAGUGCCAUCCGAAGCAUUAAAACUGACUUGGCUAGGUGUGUUCUAAAGCUGUCACGUGAGCUCUAGCCUCGUGGCAGCUAGAUCUAGCUACAGUUGCUGGUGGCUAGCUAUACGUAGGUUUGUAGAUCCAGUAACGGAGAAGUAUCUGGACUGACUGGGCAUGUUCUCGACUUAUUUACCAACAUCGGUCCCGAUCCCACUACUGGAUAUGCCUCCAGCUUACUGGAUGGGAAACUUUGUGCGCAAACUAUUAUCUGUUUGCUCUUUUGGAAAGCUAUGAUAUUCGAAGCACCUUUGAUGAAACGAUUGAUGAAACGAUUAUAUGGAUCUGGCUUAGGUACAUCUUCGAAGCAAGUUCUUCAGACGAAAAAGCAAUGCUAUGGUCAAGUCAGCAAUUCGGUACACUUACACUUAUAUGAAACAAGUCGAAACAAUAACAUUCAACUUUCCAGCUUUGCUUGUGUACAUAUUCAAUCUGCUUGUUUAUAAUUAUGAUGACAUUCAGAUUCAAUCUGCUUGUAUUAUGAUUGUUUGAUAAAAAGUGUGCCCUCGCGAAAAUACAAAUACGCCCACCCUUUUCUGCAAGAAGUCUAGGCUUAUUAGGGGACUGGGACUGGGCGUUUAAUCGAGUUUUCAUAAUAUACGCCCACCCGCGGCCUCAAAUCGAGGUUUACACUUUGCCAAUUCUUUAUUAGUUUUUAAUACAUAGUAUAAACAUUUUAUUGACAACAACAAUGUUAUAAACUAGCAUGAUUAAAGCAUGACUGUAGCUUUAUGUGUGCAAGCUUCCCUUGUUCCCUUUGUUAAUUUGUCCUCCACUGCCUCACAGUUCUAUCACUUUUACCAACAAUUCUUGCUGAUAAUUUGGCAGCUUCUGUUAACUGCAUGCUUUACUACAGCUACCAGCUAGCUAUUUAUCAGUUUUUGUGUUUUUGUCCACUAAUAGUUUAAUCGACCUGUUGUUUUGAUGUAUUUGAUGUAUGAUGUAUCAACUGCAAAAGAGUGUUUAAAGUCGAUUGUUAGCGCUAUAGCCUAGGCUAGCUAGUUGAGCAGCAGCCAGGUUCUCAGACUUUCCCUGGCUGAGAUGGGCCUAGUCUUACACAAUAAUUUACACGGAUGUCCAGAUUAGUGGUUACAUUGGCAUUGCAUUGCAUAUUAUCUGUGCACAUCUAGGGUGGAACACCCUCUCUAUUGCUACUUUCUUCGCCAAGAGGAGUCGACUUGGUAAUAAAAGAUAAUUAUACCAUUGAAUUAAUAAAUACGAAUCAAUGUUUACUAAAUUAGAUGAAUCAACAAGCACAACAAGCACAUCUGACCCGUCACUGACACAGAUCCAGACGUACAGGGUUCACUAGGUAAAAUAAGAAAAUUCAAUCAUAAAAACUUAAAAUACUCUGACACAGGUGACACAGGUGACAAGGAUACUGAUUCUAUGCAAGGUGACAGUGACAGUGACAGUGGUGACAGAUGCUCUAGAAGACAGUCUAGCCUCAGAGUGUGAUAUUGGCAACCUCCUUGAUUCGCAUGUUGAUUUGCAGUAGUAUCGAAUUCUUACUGCUGAGCCAAACAGAGACAUACCCUCGCAGUGUUGGUGGCUUGCGACAACUCUUUCUGUGUGUGUGUGUGUGUGUGUAAAGUUUUGGAGUGAUACAUCCCAAACAGUCUGUAAUCGCUCAACUUUGGUGAUCCAGGAGGGUAGUAACUGUUAUCGCCCAGAGUGAGGUGGAAGUGAGCAUACAAAUUGGCACACAUGUCAAGUGAGCGACAGUACACAAUCAAUCGUUUGAAUUACGAGACAAGUCCUUGACAACAUCAGUGAAAUCGUCGCUGGAACGCAGAGUACAUGAUAUUGGCCUUGUUGGGUGACUCAGACACGAAAGAACAAUCGAUCAUGUUCAGAGACUUGAUGACGUGUGAGCGAAUCGAAUCCGUGACAGUGGCAGUGAGUGGCAGUGAGAGCAAGCAUGGGGACACCGAAAGGCACGUAACUCAUGAAUGCGGGCAUAGGCUGGUCUGAAGUCAUCACUCCUUAAGAAAAGGUAUAUGUUACACUCAAUUAUAGCACACAAUUAUAGCACCCAACAACCAACAAUAUCAUUUUCGUGUACAGACUAUACAAAUUACACUCAUUGAUCAUGUCUAUCUAUGGUACACUUACACUUACCAUUUAUAUACACAAUGUGCUUCGUCCACAGCUACAGCAACAACUGUAUUUGACAACGGAGGCUCAAGCAAAAGCUGCUUCCACCUCUCGCCACAAACUAUAGCCUCUGGACAACUAUAGAGGAAGCGAUACAUGCCAGCCUUAACUUCUACUUCUCUUUCAUUGGCAAGAUACUUUCAUUGGCAAGAUACUUCUUGUCUACCCCAGCAGCAGAAACACCACGACUAUGGACCAUCAGGGACACGAGGGGAGACACAACUAUCACAACACUCAAUUCAGCUUCAGGAGCACCAAUCCUACCACAUUUAAGGUAGAAGUUGCCAUAGCUAGUCGGGAACCAAACGAAGCAGUCUUUGCCCUGAUAGAGCGCCUUCAAUACAUCUACUUGCUUACUCUUCAGCAACAGCUCAUCAAGACCAACGCAAGCUUUGGCGUGCUGUAAAGCACUAGCGAACAGCUCCAUUGUCUUGACAAUAGAAUUACACUGCUAGAUUACUGUACUACAUAUGUGGUUUGAAUGUCAUACCACGUCAUGGUUUUACUGAGUGCUAUCCGGAGUCCCCAGUUUCUGGGGAUUAUGUGGCGCAUGCGCAAACAGUCGAUACCAGGCCCUCUCUUCGAGGAAGAGCGGCCUGGGAUCGAGGCUAGUCUGAGUGUAGGUUGGGCAUGACAUGCAAGCUCAGGUUGCUAAGUACGUGACACACAUACACACCCUCAAUCUCAUCAACUCCAUGGCACGGUAUGCUGCAUAUUAUUGGAUACAUAUAUGCAUCACUAUCAGGUACUAAGAACGUCGUCACAGAGGGUCGGGUCAGAGAUAACGUGGUUCCCUGAACUCUCUGAUAAACGGCGCAGUAUCAAGAUACAUUUGUACUGGGCCUUCAUGGUGAGGAUUCUACAGCAAAUGGCUCUCAACAUCCCCAACCAAACCACCCAACCACUACAAGUCAUCGCCCAUUACUGUAGGGUUCAGUCGUGCUCAGAUUACCAACAAGAAGCGCUCCUUAGGUGCAUCAAGGCUACCUACGUCUUCAAGAAUGCGAACUCAUGAAGAUUGGCGAGUACUAGAUUUGUGUUACACUGUAACUAGGGAAGAUCUGACCUGUCAAUGUUAUAUCAUUACAUUAAUUUACCUCCUCCUCUCCCCCCCUCUAGGUUUGUACAUGUAUGUCAUCCAAACUCUUCUCAACAGAUGUACCCUCCCCAUGUCUAUUUCUAAUGUAUGCUCACUACCCCCAACCUCAACUGGAGAGUACAUUAAUUAAUUAAUUAUGAAAUUAAUUAUGAUUCUAUACAACUACAGGUGUAGGUGGCUGUUGCCAGCAUGAACUCGUGAGCAUCUUCUUGGUUUAUACCUGUUUGGAGCGUAGUUCGUUAUAGGGCUGGUCAGGCAUCUCAAUAAAAGUAAGUAGCUUUUUUUUAUUAACAAUUAUCACUUUUCAGCUGAGAGUUUCCAGAGGAAGAAACGUGGGAUACAUGCAGAUAUAUGAUAACUCCCUGAACAUAAUUUGUUUUACAUCAAAUGUGAAUUAAUAGUAUGAUGCAAAGCAUGUGUUUCAAAUGUGUUUCAAAUGUUUAUGCAUUAUGCAUGCCUCCCAUAAUAUAAUUAUUAACUCAGCCAUGAUGUAUUUAAUAAUAAAUUUGCUAAUCCUGUACGCUGUACGCUGCGCUGCCCUCCUGUAUGUUGUAUUAAUGAAUCACGAAGAUCUACAGGAUUCCAACUACAUACCAUGGUUGCACUCGUGGUGGUGCCCCACCACCCCCCUACCGGGGAUAGGUGGGGGAUUAGUUGGGGAUUAGACUUGAAUUUGCUCAGGGAAUGAGAAAUGAGGAAAUGGAAAUGAGAAAUAAGAAAUAGGAAACAUUAUAAAUAGAAAGAUUAUACAAAUAGACAAAACAUUAUAUAUGUGCAUAAAGUACUGUCAGCCAAUUAGUAAUGAAAUCACAACAAUUAAUACAAGUCAUUCAUUGAAGUUCAAGUUCAAGUAAACGCACCGAGAAGUGAAGAAGUCAAGUUCAAGUAGUCGCACCCAGAGCACCCAGAAGUUAGGUUGUCAGAUACAAGUUUCACCAUCACUUCAUGUGGUAAACAGUAGUGUCAGCUUUUUUUGUGAGUGUGAAUUACUUUCUUUCCCUAGAAACUGAACCCUGUAGCAAGAUUAGAAACAAGCCUUCUUUCCGCUCUUGCUACUACCAAAUCAAGAGUGUCAUUACUUCAUUACUUCCAUUACUUCCAUCGUAGCCCUUUCGACACGACGACUGGCAGAUUAGAAUUUGAUUGGUUUUAAACUUAAGAACAAACGGUUCUCUGCUUGGGAUAGUGCUCUGCUUGGGAUAGUGGGAUCGUGCACAUGAGUACUACAUGAUAAAGUCACACCAGCUGACAAAGUAUUUGGUGGUAGAGCAGGAGGUAGUAGACAGCAAAGUUGCAGAGGUGCUGUGAGGCAGCUCAUUGCAGUGAUGUUGCAGGUGCUCUGAAAUUGUAUUCGAGUGAGAUACUGGAGUCCUUAAAGUACUGGCAGUUGGCAGUGAUGUUGCAUUCGAGUGAGAUACUGUAGUCUUUAAAGUUGGCAGUGAUGUUGCACGAGCACCUGGAAUCGUAUUCGAGUGAGUCCUUGAAGUACUGGCAGUUGGCAGUGAUGUUGCACGAGCACCUGGAAUUGUAUUUGAGUGAGAUACGGCAGUUGGCAGUGAUGUUGCACGAGCACCUGGAAUUGUAUUCGAGUGAGAUACUGGCAGAAUGUUCGUUGUAGACCUAUAGCAAAAUGUGAAUUUUAAACUGUACACAGCAGAUAUAAUUGUUACGGAACAGGUGCUGAGGAUUCAGCUUGCGAUGAAAAGCUUGCUUCUAAUGCUCUUUGAAAAUCAGGAUCAUCGUCAGGAAGAUCUUCCUCAGUAAGCUGGAUAUGGUAGCUGGAUAUGGUACUGCUGGAGUGGACAAGCUAACGGGUGUCUCUAUUCACUGGACUGGACCACUGGACUGGACUACUAGACUCACCUUUGACCCCAAUUUUAGAUAUAUUUUUGCAAUUUUAAGUGAUUUCAAUGUGCAAUUUUCAUUUAUAUGAAGUGAUCUACAAAUUAAUGUCAGAUAUUAAACACCAAAAUUUGUCAGCAAAUGCUCUCUGUGUACUUCUGUUAGUUAACUUGCAAUGUCAGAUAGAAUUAUUAAGAAGGAUUGAAGGAUCCCCAUCUAAGCCAGACACAUUGGGGAUUGCAGUGGUAGUAAACAUUAGAGAAUUUUUUUUGUGAGGUUCGACUUCCUGUUGGUAUAAACUCCCCCCAUUCUUGGUGCUCUAUACAGAUAUCAUUAGGUGGCUUCAGAUUCUUUUCGUACUGAUUUUUACACCCAAAGCAUACUUUAAUGUUUCCCUUGAUAAAGGUAACAGUCCAUGGAGCUCCACUUGAAUGAGGUGGACCAUAUGGAGUGCUCGUACACCUUGGAUUAGGCAAAAAAUAUGGAGAUGGUGGACAGUACAGAGCGCUUAAUCCACUUGGACAGUAUGGAUAAGAUGGAGUGCUUGGUCCACUUGGAGUGCUUGAUCCACUUGGACAGUAUGGAUAAGAUGGAGUGCUUGAUCCACUUGGACAGUGUGGAUAAGAUGGCAGUGUGGAUAAGAUGGAGUGCUUGAUCCACUUGGAAUGCUCGGUCCACUUGGACAGUACGGAUAAGAUGGAUACGGUGCUAUGGAAGUAAAGUGGUAUGAAGGACUGCUUUUAUCUUGAAACGUGGCUCCUACUGAAAUACUUUGCGUAUUCGAUUCAAUCGAUUGUGUAACAGUCAUUGGCACACGGGUACAAGUUUUAUCAUCGCAAUUCUGCUUCCUCUUGCGAGGAGGAACACCACCUUUUCUGCCUCUUCCUUUUGGCAUGUUUGUGGUGACAAGGUAGGUAACAUUGGGUGCCUUCUUCUUCUUCAAAUACGAAAUAAAUUGCUUGAUUGUUUAGAUAAAUC
Long non-coding RNA from Halichondria panicea, 7167 nucleotides. RefSeq lists it as uncharacterized. The transcript has 3 exons. The record is from RefSeq and is a predicted model, not a curated record. NCBI's taxonomy places the organism in Eukaryota, Metazoa, Porifera, Demospongiae, Suberitida, Halichondriidae.